CUUUCACCUCCUUGGUUAAGUAUAUUACUAGGUGUUUUAUUUCUUUGCAGCUGCUGUGAAAGGGGUUCAGUUCUUCUCAACUUGGUUGUUUUUGAUGUACAGCAGUGCUACUGAUUUGUGUAAAUUGAUUUUGUAACCUGAGACUUUACUGAACUCCUUUAUCAAAUCUAGGAGUCUUUAGGGUUUUCUAGGUAUACAAUUAUACCAUUGGUAAACAGUAGUAGUUUGACUUCCUUUUUUCUUAUUUGGAAACCCUAUAUUUUCUUCUCUUUCCUGAUUGCUCUGGCUAGGACUUCCAUUACUAUGUUGAACAGAAGUGGUGAAAGUGGGCAUCCUUGUCUUGUUCCAGUACUCAGGGGGAAAGCUUUCAACUUUUCUCCAUUCACUAUGAUGUUGGCUGUGGGUUUGUCAUAGAUGGCUUUGAUUCAUUUGAGAUUUAAAAUUUUGGAUUUUCUGCUUUUCUUGAAGAGCUAGAUGAUAGAGCAAGACAGUCUACAUUUAUUUCAUGUCUGAAAGGCUGGAAAAGAGAUCAUGUUCCCCACCAUCUUCACCUGAUCAUAUCCUUUAUUGUCCAGAGCACAUCUGACAGAACACCCACCUUGCAAUGAACUAAAAUCAUCACCUGUGUGCCUUGCAUCUGCUCCAUUCUAGGUGGGUUCUCCUAUCAUUUGUAGCUGAGUAUAGCCUGGGUAGAAUAAAUCCCCUAAUUCAGUUGUCUGCCUGGGGAAAAAGAAAAAAAAAACAGUGAAUGGGUAGAGAGAAGUAGAGAAUUAUUAUUUUUUUCCCCUAGUGGCUUGGUCUGGAAAAGAAGAUAAAGUAAUAGAAUUGGAAGGCGGGGAGGAGGAGCAAAAACUGGGAUGGGAUCCAGAGAAGGCUCUGCUUUAUUUGUUUGCUUUUUAAAUUUUUUAACAAUGGAAGAAAUAAAUUUGAAAGGAGCUUUUAUUGUUUCUAAGAGUCUGAAGUCUGUAGAAAUCAGAAGCCUGUCUCCAAGUAUAUCUACUAUGUGGUUGCUAGGGAGGCCGUAAAGUUCUCUGUGACCAGGGAAAAGAACAUUCAAGAUACAGGUAGAGAGGCUAUACCAUGGGUGUAUGGAAGAGUUAUUUGGAAGUAAACAGCAUUUGGAAGGGUUCUUCAAUAUUACAUUAGGAAGGUUUAAGAAUACUGAAGGUGGCAGAGUCAUUUUGAGGCACAGGUAAAAUUAGAGGUGAGUUGAAAUGUCGAUCGGCUCUGGAGUACCCAUCUGUAUCCUAUCCUCUGCUCUCUGCCUCGACCCCAAACCCAUGUCUUGUGACUCAUCCCGAAAGAUCCCCUUGCUGAGCUGUUGAGAUCUUUCAGGCCCCUCCAGCCUUGACAUCCUGUUAUCUUGAAGAUCAUAUGCAGAAGUUAAAAAUAGACAUGAUUAGGGGUCCUGGCUAUAUGUGGUUCUUUUUGGGCAACCCAUAGACUUUUAUGCCCUGCGACUUCUUGUUGGUUUAGAUUUGUUUUAAAAUUU
Molecule: long non-coding RNA, 1492 nt
Filed under: Homo sapiens (human)
Lineage: Eukaryota; Metazoa; Chordata; Mammalia; Primates; Hominidae
Description: HSALNT0257866
Source: RNAcentral